RNAcentral lists this long non-coding RNA (650 nucleotides) under Homo sapiens (human). RNAcentral's name for it is "HSALNT0244556". The record is from RNAcentral. Lineage: Eukaryota; Metazoa; Chordata; Mammalia; Primates; Hominidae.
UUAUUUUCCUUUGCAAAAAUCUGUUAAAAAGAAAGCAGUAUUCCUGAAAAGAGGUUUGAGGAGGUUCAAUUUUUCCAUCACUUCACCAUAACACAUGCAGACACAGACACACACACACACACACACACACACACAACUUCUAUGUGUACAUGCAUGAAACUAAAGGCACACCAUAGCGAUUGUCACAGUCCUCAUUCUUGAGUCUCUCUUGUGACUUUGGUAAGAUCAAAGGAGAAAUUCAGCCCUGAAACUGUAGAGACAUCACACAAUUUGGGGCAUUUGUCCUGAUUUAUUUAUUGUCCAUUAUAUGUGUUAUAAUUACUGGGGAGGAAAAAAAUAAUGUCCAUUAUAUGUGUCAUAAUUACAGGGGAAGAAAAAAAUAAUUGUAGGUGAUUCUUAUUUCUUCUCCAAUAACUUAUUUAUAAUUUUAAUAUUUUCUACAAUGAAAAUAUAUAACUUUUUGUUUCUUAUCCAUGAUUGUUGAGUUAAACACAUAGUUGAUAUUUCCUAUACUCUUUUUUGUUCAAUAAUAAAUGCACUAAAGUCUCUAAAAUAUUAUCUGAGUACCAUUUUGAACUAAAAUCAUAGGUGUUGGCACGUUGCAUUCUCAUGGUUUUCAAAAAUUUCUAAGUAGUUUAAUAGCCCAAAGA